GAAUGCUGACAUAAGUAACGAUAAAGCGGGUGAAAAGCCCGCUCGCCGGAAGACCAAGGGUUCCUGUCCAACGUUAAUCGGGGCAGGGUGAGUCGACCCCUAAGGCGAGGCCGAAAGGCGUAGUCGAUGGGAAACGGGUUAAUAUUCCCGUACUUGGUGUUACUGCGAAGGGGGGACGGAGAAGGCUAUGUUGGCCGGGCGACGGUUGUCCCGGUUUAAGCGUGUAGGUGUGUGUUCCAGGUAAAUCCGGUUCACUUUAACACUGAGGCGUGACGACGAGGCACUACGGUGCUGAAGCAACAAAUGCCCUGCUUCCAGGAAAAGCCUCUAAGCAUCAGGUAACAUCAAAUCGUACCCCAAACCGACACAGGUGGUCAGGUAGAGAAUACCAAGGCGCUUGAGAGAACUCGGGUGAAGGAACUAGGCAAAAUGGUGCCGUAACUUCGGGAGAAGGCACGCUGACACGUAGGUGAAGUGAUUUACUCAUGGAGCUGAAGUCAGUCGAAGAUACCAGCUGGCUGCAACUGUUUAUUAAAAACACAGCACUGUGCAAACACGAAAGUGGACGUAUACGGUGUGACGCCUGCCCGGUGCCGGAAGGUUAAUUGAUGGGGUCAGCGCAAGCGAAGCUCCUGAUCGAAGCCCCGGUAAACGGCGGCCGUAACUAUAACGGUCCUAAGGUAGCGAAAUUCCUUGUCGGGUAAGUUCCGACCUGCACGAAUGGCGUAAUGAUGGCCAGGCUGUCUCCACCCGAGACUCAGUGAAAUUGAACUCGCUGUGAAGAUGCAGUGUACCCGCGGCAAGACGGAAAGACCCCGUGAACCUUUACUAUAGCUUGACACUGAACAUUGAGCCUUGAUGUGUAGGAUAGGUGGGAGGCUUUGAAGUGUGGACGCCAGUCUGCAUGGAGCCGACCUUGAAAUACCACCCUUUAAUGUUUGAUGUUCUAACGUGGACCCGUUACCCGGGUUGCGGACAGUGUCUGGUGGGUAGUUUGACUGGGGCGGUCUCCUCCUAAAGAGUAACGGAGGAGCACGAAGGUUGGCUAAUCCUGGUCGGACAUCAGGAGGUUAGUGCAAUGGCAUAAGCCAGCUUGACUGCGAGCGUGACGGCGCGAGCAGGUGCGAAAGCAGGUCAUAGUGAUCCGGUGGUUCUGAAUGGAAGGGCCAUCGCUCAACGGAUAAAAGGUACUCCGGGGAUAACAGGCUGAUACCGCCCAAGAGUUCAUAUCGACGGCGGUGUUUGGCACCUCGAUGUCGGCUCAUCACAUCCUGGGGCUGAAGUAGGUCCCAAGGGUAUGGCUGUUCGCCAUUUAAAGUGGUACGCGAGCUGGGUUUAGAACGUCGUGAGACAGUUCGGUCCCUAUCUGCC
Molecule: ribosomal RNA, 1371 nt
Filed under: Salmonella enterica
Lineage: Bacteria; Pseudomonadati; Pseudomonadota; Gammaproteobacteria; Enterobacterales; Enterobacteriaceae
Also listed under: 1 other name
Description: partial 23S ribosomal RNA
Rfam family: Bacterial large subunit ribosomal RNA
Source: RNAcentral